Molecule: ribosomal RNA, 421 nt
Filed under: uncultured eukaryote
Lineage: Eukaryota
Description: bacterial SSU rRNA
Rfam family: Eukaryotic small subunit ribosomal RNA
Source: RNAcentral
CAAUAGCGUAUAUUAAAGUUGUUGCGGUUAAAAAGCUCGUAGUUGGAUUUCUGUUGAGGACAUCCGGUCCGCAUUUUGUGCGUGUAUCUGGUAUGGCCUCGGCAUCCUCUUGAAGACGUAUCUGCGAUUGAUUUCGUGGUGCGAAUUUCAAGACUUUUACUUUGAGGAAAUUAGAGUGUUCACGGCAGGCAAUCGCCUUGAAUAUAUUAGCAUGGAAUAAUAAUAUAGGAUCGCGAUUCUAUUUUGUUGGUUUCUAGAAUCACGAUAAUGAUUAAUAGGGAUAAUUGGGGGCGAUUUGUAUUAACGCGUCAGAGGUGGAAUUCUUGGAUUUGUUAAAGACGGACUACUGCGAAAGCAUUUGCCAAGGAUGUUUUCAUUGAUCAAGAACGAAAGUUAGGGAUCGAAGACGAUCAGAUACCAU